AUCCAGUUGGUGAGUCCCAAAUAGGACGAAAUGCGCUUUAUCCUGGAU
Molecule: non-coding RNA, 48 nt
Filed under: Trichobilharzia regenti
Lineage: Eukaryota; Metazoa; Platyhelminthes; Trematoda; Strigeidida; Schistosomatidae
Source: RNAcentral